GGGAGUAUAGCUCAGUUGGUUAGAGCACACCCCUGAUAAGGGUGAGGUCGAUUGUUCGAGUCAAUUUACUCCCACCA
RNAcentral lists this transfer RNA (77 nucleotides) under Mycoplasmoidaceae bacterium. RNAcentral describes it as "tRNA-Ile". It matches the Rfam family "tRNA". From Rfam's summary of the family: Transfer RNA (tRNA) molecules are approximately 80 nucleotides in length. Their secondary structure includes four short double-helical elements and three loops (D, anti-codon, and T loops). Lineage: Bacteria; Bacillati; Mycoplasmatota; Mycoplasmoidales; Mycoplasmoidaceae. The record is from RNAcentral. RNAcentral also lists the same sequence under 1 other name.